Molecule: ribosomal RNA, 382 nt
Filed under: uncultured bacterium
Lineage: Bacteria
Description: bacterial SSU rRNA
Rfam family: Bacterial small subunit ribosomal RNA
Source: RNAcentral
UACCCUUGACAUGCCAGGAAUCCUGAAGAGAUUUGGGAGUGCUCGAAAGAGAACCUGGACACAGGUGCUGCAUGGCCGUCGUCAGCUCGUGUUGUGAGAUGUUGGGUUAAGUCCCGCAACGAGCGCAACCCUUGUCAUUAGUUGCUACGAAAGGGCACUCUAAUGAGACUGCCGGUGACAAACCGGAGGAAGGUGGGGAUGACGUCAGGUCAUCAUGGCCCUUAUGGGUAGGGCUACACACGUCAUACAAUGGCCGGUACAGAGGGCUGCCAACCCGCGAGGGGGAGCUAAUCCCAGAAAACCGGUCGUAGUCCGGAUCGCAGUCUGCAACUCGACUGCGUGAAGUCGGAAUCGCUAGUAAUCGCGGAUCAGCUUGCCGCGG